This 489-nucleotide ribosomal RNA is filed under the name uncultured bacterium. RNAcentral's name for it is "partial 16S ribosomal RNA". It matches the Rfam family "Bacterial small subunit ribosomal RNA", at positions 30 to 507 of the family's 1533-position model. The record is from RNAcentral.
UUGCACGCUGGCGGCAGGCCUAACACCUGCAAGUCGCACGGUAACAGGAAGAAGCUUGCUUCUUUGCUGACGAGUGGCGGACGGGUGAGUAAUGUCUGGGAAACUGCCUGAUGGAGGGGGAUAACUACUGGAAACGGUAGCUAAUACCGCAUAACGUCGCAAGACCAAAGAGGGGGACCUUCGGGCCUCUUGCCAUCGGAUGUGCCCAGAUGGGAUUAGCUAGUAGGUGGGGUAACGGCUCACCUAGGCGACGAUCCCUAGCUGGUCUGAGAGGAUGACCAGCCACACUGGAACUGAGACACGGUCCAGACUCCUACGGGAGGCAGCAGUGGGGAAUAUUGCACAAUGGGCGCAAGCCUGAUGCAGCCAUGCCGCGUGUAUGAAGAAGGCCUUCGGGUUGUAAAGUACUUUCAGCGGGGAGGAAGGGAGUAAAGUUAAUACCUUUGCUCAUUGACGUUACCCGCAGAAGAAGCACCGGCUAACUCCGUG